This 458-nucleotide unclassified non-coding RNA is filed under the name Hevea brasiliensis (rubber tree). Lineage: Eukaryota; Viridiplantae; Streptophyta; Magnoliopsida; Malpighiales; Euphorbiaceae. The record is from RNAcentral.
CUGGAUUAUAACCUCCAUCUGGGUCAAAUCGCCUGCAGUCUCAAUAGCUGAUUUGAGGUCAGUGUUAGAAGACCCGACCAAAACGGUACCGUUUCCAACAAAAGCGGGCAGCGACCGGCCAUCAGCCAACAAAGCAUUUGUCGCAGAGACCAAGACCUCAUUAUUUUGAAACCCAACGAAGACGCUCCAAGAUUUGAGCUCAUCACGUCCGUUGUUGAGCACGGUUACAGUGGAUUCGAAACGGUACGGUUGGUUAGUGGGGUCAGUGGGCGGGAUAGGAUAGCCUCCGGUGUAGUUGUAGGACAAGAACACACCAUUGCAGGUGGUCUUUAAUGGCUGAGAGAGAGAACUGUACACAAAGAAUGAGACUAUAACAAAAAUAAGCAAUAGAUUCCUGUUAGCCAUAUGGGUUAUUUUUUUGUAGUGGGUAACCAGAUUAUGAAUUAACAAAAGAGAAG